This 629-nucleotide ribosomal RNA is filed under the name Bacillus tequilensis. RNAcentral describes it as "bacterial SSU rRNA". It matches the Rfam family "Bacterial small subunit ribosomal RNA", at positions 56 to 666 of the family's 1533-position model. Lineage: Bacteria; Bacillati; Bacillota; Bacilli; Caryophanales; Bacillaceae. The record is from RNAcentral.
UGCAAGUCGAGCGGACAGAUGGGAGCUUGCUCCCUGAUGUUAGCGGCGGACGGGUGAGUAACACGUGGGUAACCUGCCUGUAAGACUGGGAUAACUCCGGGAAACCGGGGCUAAUACCGGAUGGUUGUUUGAACCGCAUGGUUCAAACAUAAAAGGUGGCUUCGGCUACCACUUACAGAUGGACCCGCGGCGCAUUAGCUAGUUGGUGAGGUAACGGCUCACCAAGGCAACGAUGCGUAGCCGACCUGAGAGGGUGAUCGGCCACACUGGGACUGAGACACGGCCCAGACUCCUACGGGAGGCAGCAGUAGGGAAUCUUCCGCAAUGGACGAAAGUCUGACGGAGCAACGCCGCGUGAGUGAUGAAGGUUUUCGGAUCGUAAAGCUCUGUUGUUAGGGAAGAACAAGUACCGUUCGAAUAGGGCGGUACCUUGACGGUACCUAACCAGAAAGCCACGGCUAACUACGUGCCAGCAGCCGCGGUAAUACGUAGGUGGCAAGCGUUGUCCGGAAUUAUUGGGCGUAAAGGGCUCGCAGGCGGUUUCUUAAGUCUGAUGUGAAAGCCCCCGGCUCAACCCGGGGAGGGUCAUUGGAAACUGGGGAACUUGAGUGCAGAAGAGGAGAGUGGAA